RNAcentral lists this ribosomal RNA (375 nucleotides) under uncultured bacterium. RNAcentral's name for it is "bacterial SSU rRNA". It matches the Rfam family "Bacterial small subunit ribosomal RNA", at positions 521 to 896 of the family's 1533-position model. The record is from RNAcentral.
UAAGACGAACCGUGCGAACGUUGUUCGGAAUCACUGGGCUUAAAGGGUGCGUAGGCGGGCUCGUCAGUCGGGGGUGAAAUCCCACGGCCCAACCGUGGAAGUGCCUCCGAUACUGCGAGUCUAGAGGGGAACAGGGGCAUGCGGAACUUCCGGUGGAGCGGUGAAAUGCGUAGAUAUCGGAAGGAACACCGGUGGCGAAAGCGGCGUGCUGGAUUCCUACUGACGCUGAGGCACGAAAGCCAGGGGAGCAAACGGGAUUAGAUACCCCGGUAGUCCUGGCCCUAAACGAUGGGUACUAGGUAGUGGACUGACAUGGGUUCACUGCCGAAGCAAAAGUGAUAAGUACCCCGCCUGGGGAGUAUGGUCGCAAGGCUG